Coccinella septempunctata (seven-spotted ladybird) is the source of this 2184-nucleotide long non-coding RNA. RefSeq lists it as uncharacterized. The transcript has 5 exons. The record is from RefSeq and is a predicted model, not a curated record. NCBI's taxonomy places the organism in Eukaryota, Metazoa, Arthropoda, Insecta, Coleoptera, Coccinellidae.
AACCAUUUCACUCUAAGAACUGGCAAUAUAAUGAGAUGAUGCACCUGUCAGCACCUACAACAGCAUGACAGGAGUUGGUGGCAAAAGUCUAAACAACAUUCGUUAUAAGGAGUAGCAGUAGACUUGAAUUCCCGUAUUGAUCAGAAUCGAGACUCGAUUCUUGAUUGAAGUGUAGUGAGUGUAGUGUUUUCUGGGACUUCGCUGUCAGCAUUUAUGGAAUGACGGAAAGGUCUUAGAGCACAGUCUUGUCCUUUGUGGACAGGGCUGCUAAGGGAUCUCCUGGAAGUCAUUCCCAUCUUUAGCCAUCGAUGGACCAGGAGCGUAAAAGCAAAAUGUAAAGGUCAAAGUGAGUCGUUUCGAUUUAUCAGCUGGCACUGAUGAUAAUCGUGAUGAAUACCGUGGGAAAUGCAAAAAUUUGUGAAGUAACUUAUGUCGAUAGAAUUUUGGAGGGUUAGUUUGCGACGUGGGUCAUUAUUUUCGGGGUGAUUCCUGGGGAAAUUUUUUCGAAAUUCCUUCAAGUACAAAUUUUCUUCAUUCACGACACUAGGUAGCUUCUCAUCUUUUCGAUAUACUUCUGAUAGUCCUUCAGUAGCGGUCCAAUUAUUUAAAUCGAAGUACAAUAUUUUGUGGAGUAACUUUAUGUCGAUAGAAUUCUGGAGGAUUUGUUUGCGAAGUGGUUCAUUAUUUUCGGGAAAAUUCCUGGGGAAAUUCCUUCGAAAUGACCAUGUCAUCUUUGAAGAAUUUUCUUGUAGUGCUUUCCUCAGAAUGAAUGAACCUUCAAGAACACAUUUUCUAUAUUCACGACACUAAGUAUCUUCUCAUCUUAUCGAUAUACAUACUUCUGAUAGUCCUUUAGUAGCGGUAUAAUUAUUUCAAUGGAAAUGCAAUAUUUUGUGGAACAACUUUAUGUCGAUAGAAUUCUGGAGGGUUUGAUUGCGAAGUGGGUCAUUAUUUUUGGGAUGAUUCCUGGGAAAAUUCCUACGAAAUGAUCAACUCAUCUUCGAGGAAUUUUCUUUUGAUGCUCUCCUUAGAAUCAAUGACUCUUCAAGAUCAGAUUCAACAAAUUUGCGACUAAAGUUUUUUCUCAUCUUAUUGAUUCAUUUCUUAGCGUAAUUCCGUUUCGACUAAAUUAUUAUUUCGUCGCGAUAUAAGUGUUGAGUGUACAAAAAAGGUAAAGAAAGUAGGUACAAGACAAGAUAAUAAGUAUAUUCGAUAAUGUCAUAUAUUUUAUAUCAUUCGAAAUUGAAUUUUGAUAUACGUUACUGACAAAAUGGGUAGUAUUGAAGAUUCAAUACGUAAAUAUUUAACGCAGUAACGUAUUAUCUGAAGAACAGAAGAUAAUCAUUUAUUUUUCAGUAGAAAGUUAAUGGAUCAGAUAGUUUGUCUCGAAAGAUUUUGUCCUCAGAACUGAAUAUAUAAUUAGAUACUGCACCUGUCAGCACCUACGUCAGCAUGACAGGAGUUGGUGGCAAAAGUCUAAACAACAUUCGUUAUAAGGAGUAGCAGUAGACUUGAAUUCCCGUAUUGAUCAGAAUCGAGACUCGAUUCUUGAUUGAAGUGUAGUGAGUGUAGUGUUUUCUGGGACUUCGCUGUCAGCAUUUAUGGAAUGACGGAAAGGUCUUAGAGCACAGUCUUGUCCUUUGUGGACAGGGCUGCUAAGGGAUCUCCUGGAAGUCAUUCCCAACUUUAGCCAUCGAUGGACCAGGAGCGUAAAAGCAAAAUGUAAAGGUCAAAGUGAGUCGUUUCGAUUUAUCAGCUGGCACUGAUGAUAAUCGUGAUGAAUACCGUGGGAAAUGCAAAAAUUUGUGAAGUAACUUAUGUCGAUAGAAUUUUAGAGGGUUAGUUUGCGACGUGGGUCAUUAUUUUCGGGGUGAUUCCUGGGGAAAUUUUUUCGAAAUUCCUUCAAGUACAAAUUUUCUUCAUUCACGACACUAGGUAGCUUCUCAUCUUUUCGAUAUACUUCUGAUAGUCCUUCAGUAGCGGUCCAAUUAUUUAAAUCGAAGUACAAUAUUUUGUGGAGUAACUUUAUGUCGAUAGAAUUCUGGAGGAUUUGUUUGCGAAGUGGUUCAUUAUUUUCGGGAAAAUUCCUGGGGAAAUUCCUUCGAAAUGACCAUGUCAUCUUUGAAGAAUUUUCUUGUAGUGCUUUCCUCAGAAUGAAUGAACCUUCAAGAACACAUUUUCUAU